GAGCAACCGCACAGCUCGUCUAACCUCUAUAGGUCAUCCACUCGAAGUUCUAAUUGGAUCGUCUUUCUCGAGAGUGCUAGCUCAUGCCGAAGGCUCUGCAUGACUGAUUCAAGCUCCUUUUUUUGGAUCACCUAGACUCUUUCAGAUCAAAAGAUGGAGCUAUACGAGGAGAUGGUGGUGUGGGAGAUUGAAACAAGACACUCUUAUAUUUUUCUCUCACAUAAAACCUAGUGCUAAAACCCUAAAACCCACCCUAGACCUCAUGCCCAAAGAGGAAGGACUCUUCCUCUGUUUCUCACGCA
This 302-nucleotide long non-coding RNA is filed under the name Elaeis guineensis (African oil palm). RNAcentral's name for it is "long non-coding RNA (EGUI_LNC057941)". Lineage: Eukaryota; Viridiplantae; Streptophyta; Magnoliopsida; Arecales; Arecaceae. The record is from RNAcentral.